CCUACGGGAGGCAGCAGUGAGGAAUAUUGGUCAAUGGUCGGGAGACUGAACCAGCCAAGCCGCGUGAGGGAGGAAGGUACAGAGUAUCGUAAACCUCUUUUGUCAGGGAACAAAGACUGGGACGCGUCCACGGAUGAGUGUACCUGAAGAAAAAGCAUCGGCUAACCCCGUGCCAGCAGCCGCGGUAAUACGGAGGAUGCGCGCGUUAUCCGGAUUUAUUGGGUUUAAAGGGUGCGCAGGCGGGCUGUAAAGGAAGGGGUAAAAGCCCGGGGCUCAACCCCGGCCCGCCGUUGAAACUGGCAGUCUCGAGUUGGAGAGAAGUAUGCGGAAUGCGCGGUGUAGCGGUGAAAUGCAUAGAUAUCGCGCAGAACUCCGAUGGCGAAGGCAGCAUGCCGGCUCCACACUGACGCUGAGGCACGAAAGCGUGGGUAUCGAACAGGAUUAGAUACCCCUGUAGUC
This 459-nucleotide ribosomal RNA is filed under the name uncultured bacterium. RNAcentral describes it as "partial 16S ribosomal RNA". It matches the Rfam family "Bacterial small subunit ribosomal RNA", at positions 338 to 795 of the family's 1533-position model. The record is from RNAcentral.